Molecule: long non-coding RNA, 880 nt
Filed under: Homo sapiens (human)
Lineage: Eukaryota; Metazoa; Chordata; Mammalia; Primates; Hominidae
Description: HSALNT0089685
Source: RNAcentral
UACAGUAAAAGCUGGGGAGGUGUGUAGGGCUCCAGUCUUUGGGUUCACAGCUUGGCUCUACAUUCAUUGCUGGAGGAAUCCAAGCCUCACAAAAGACCGCUUUUAAAGAAAAACUCUAUUUUUCUUAGAAGAACUAGAUUAAACUAAGAUCCUUUGCCAAUAAAAAGACAAACAAUAGAAAAUUCCUACAGAUUAAGAAUACCAACCAAGAUUUCAGUGAACUUACUUGCUUCAGCUCUGGGAGAACAGUUAUGACAUGGUGCUGAAUUACAUCAGUGAGGAACUAGAGCUUUAACCAAACUUGAGUAAGAACUCCCUGACUUGGAAACACUCAAGUUUCCCACACAUGACUGGAUGGCCCUGGCCACACUGGGAACGGAAUGGGGGCCUCCCAUUGGAACUCAGGGUGGAGGGGGAAGCUCGACCAGCUAUUGUGGCCCCCACUUCCAUUGACAAAGAGAAGAGACUUGUACACAGAGAGGCUGGGCAACUUGUACAUGGUUGCACAGAUGUCCAGAGGCAGUGCUGAGAUGUGAACACAGGAAGACUGGAUUCAGCAUCUGUGCUACUAACCAGGACACUAUGAAGUCUCUCAUACCUGUGGUACUAGGAAAAUCAGAGAAAAUUUCAAGGAGGGUGGGGCAUUAGAAGCUGACUAUGGAGGAACCGGUAGGAGUUGGAUGUUUGGAAAUAGAGGGCAGGGCAUUGCAGGUAGAGAAUGGGAGUGUAUUCUGGAUGCCAACACAUCUGUGGCGGUCCUAAGAUCAGGAAUAGAUGGUCUGUAUCUUCAGUAUGACUUAAUGUUUCUGAGUGUAAGACUUAAUCUCCAUUUGAAAAAGGAUAAAAAGAAGGAAAAAAAAUAAAAGCUAUUACGUUUCUG